Molecule: ribosomal RNA, 162 nt
Filed under: Trigastrotheca stricta
Lineage: Eukaryota; Viridiplantae; Streptophyta; Magnoliopsida; Caryophyllales; Molluginaceae
Description: 5.8S ribosomal RNA
Rfam family: 5.8S ribosomal RNA
About the family: 5.8S ribosomal RNA (5.8S rRNA) is a component of the large subunit of the eukaryotic ribosome. It is transcribed by RNA polymerase I as part of the 45S precursor that also contains 18S and 28S rRNA.
Source: RNAcentral
AUAAUGACUCUCGGCAACGGAUAUCUCGGCUCUCGCAUCGAUGAAGAACGUAGCGAAAUGCGAUACUUGGUGUGAAUUGCAGAAUCCCGUGAACCAUCGAGUCUUUGAACGCAAGUUGCGCCCGAAGCUUCGGCUAAGGGCACGUCUGCCUGGGCGUCACGC